AUUCCUGUGAGCCAAGCACCAAAUAGUCAUUGUUAAGCAUAUUGAUUACUUUUCACAACCACCUAGUACUACACAUUCAAUUAACAUCAGAAAUACAACCUGCAGUAUUGCAGAGCAAGACAGCAGGAUAAAAGUCAGAAUUAGAAUUAACACACACAUAAAGCUACCAUUAAAGGUUAGUGAUUACUGAUUACAAGCCAUAUAAAGAAAGAAAUUUAGAUUGGGUCAUCAUAUCAGUUGUCACCAGUUUAGAUUCAUGUUAUGUCUAUCGGUAGUAAGCUUGCUGGUAAGCUGGGGCCAUUCCAUUGCAGUAGCCUCCGUAUGGAGAGUAGUUCACUGGGGUGCCUGGAUAGGGGGCAGCUUCUGGGGAGUAAGGGUAAGGUGGGCUCCUGUUACCGUAGAUGGUUGGUGGUGAGGCAUAUGCUGGAACUGCUUGAGGGUAUUGGGUGUGUGGUGGAGACCUAACAAAUGCUGGAGCUACAGGGAAAGAUGAAACGUAGGCAUUUGUUGAACGGCCUGCCUUAGCAGGAGGCAUAGGACCACCAUUAUUGGCUCUCGUUCUUUUGUUUGCUGGUACAGCAGCUGGCCUCUUCUUCUCAUUCUUCGGCUUCUCCAAUUGCUCAAGCUGCUUCUUAAGGUUCUCGGGUGGAAAUUCAGCUUCAAGCUUGUAUUCUUCAAUGCACUUGAGAACAGAACGAAUUGCUGAUUGCUCUUUCUUAGAAGCAAAAUGCGCAGCUCGACCAAAAUUAUUAGGAUCUUCCAGGAUUGCAGCAGCAGCUUUUUUCGCAUCUUUUAGAAAAGCUUUCAGAAGAGGAACAGGAGGGAACUUAUCUGCAAGUCCAACUUCAUAAGUGAAAUGUACAGCAUCAACUUGCUGUCCCCGGCUGAUCAGUUCUUCAAUCAUCUCAGGCAUUUUAUCACCAAGGCCAAGAGAGAUAGCAAGUUUAGGCAUCUGUUUCCUCCAAGCAGACCCAACAACAAGUUUCCUAUACAAAUCAAAGUCCUCAUCCUUCACAACUCCAAA
This 1024-nucleotide unclassified non-coding RNA is filed under the name Hevea brasiliensis (rubber tree). Lineage: Eukaryota; Viridiplantae; Streptophyta; Magnoliopsida; Malpighiales; Euphorbiaceae. The record is from RNAcentral.